UACGGAGGGUGCAAGCGUUGCUCGGAAUCACUGGGCGUAAAGGGUGCGUAGGCGGCUGUGUAAGUCUGGCGUGAAAGCCCAGGGCUCAGCCCUGGAAGUGCGCUAGAAACUGCGCGGCUGGAGUGCCGGAGGGGAGAGUGGAAUUCCUGGUGUAGCGGUGAAAUGCGUAGAUAUCAGGAGGAAUACCGGUGGCGAAAGCGACUCUCUGGACGGCAACUGACGCUGAGGCACGAAAGCGUGGGGAGCAAACAGG
RNAcentral lists this ribosomal RNA (253 nucleotides) under uncultured bacterium. Its description in RNAcentral is "partial 16S ribosomal RNA". It matches the Rfam family "Bacterial small subunit ribosomal RNA", at positions 524 to 776 of the family's 1533-position model. The record is from RNAcentral.